GGCGGCGUAGCUCAGUUGGUUAGAGCGUGGGACUCAUAACCCCAAGGUCGGUGGUUCGAAUCCACCCGCCGCUACCU
The sequence is a transfer RNA, 77 nucleotides long. It matches the Rfam family "tRNA". From Rfam's summary of the family: Transfer RNA (tRNA) molecules are approximately 80 nucleotides in length.